AGUGAACGCUGGCGGUAGGCCUAACACAUGCAAGUCGAACGGCAGCACAGUAAGAGCUUGCUCUUACGGGUGGCGAGUGGCGGACGGGUGAGGAAUACAUCGGAAUCUACUUUUUCGUGGGGGAUAACGUAGGGAAACUUACGCUAAUACCGCAUACGACCUACGGGUGAAAGCAGGGGAUCUUCGGACCUUGCGCGAUUGAAUGAGCCGAUGUCGGAUUAGCUAGUUGGCGGGGUAAAGGCCCACCAAGGCGACGAUCCGUAGCUGGUCUGAGAGGAUGAUCAGCCACACUGGAACUGGGACACGGUCCAGACUCCUACGGGAGGCAGCAGUGGGGAAUAUUGGACAAUGGGCGCAAGCCUGAUCCAGCCAUACCGCGUGGGUGAAGAAGGCCUUCGGGUUGUAAAGCCCUUUUGUUGGGAAAGAAAAGCAGCAGGUUAAUACCCCGCUGUUCUGACGGUACCCAAAGAAUAAGCACCGGCUAACUUCGUA
Molecule: ribosomal RNA, 492 nt
Filed under: uncultured bacterium
Lineage: Bacteria
Description: partial 16S ribosomal RNA
Rfam family: Bacterial small subunit ribosomal RNA
Source: RNAcentral